AGUGAACGCUGGCGGUAGGCCUAACACAUGCAAGUCGAACGGCAGCACAGUAAGAGCUUGCUCUUACGGGUGGCGAGUGGCGGACGGGUGAGGAAUACAUCGGAAUCUACUUUUUCGGGGGGGAUAACGUAGGGAAACUUACGCUAAUACCGCAUACGACCUACGGGUGAAAGCAGUGGAUCUUCGGACCUUGCGCGAUUGAAUGAGCCGACGCCGGAGUAGCUAGGUGGCAAGGUAACGGCCCACCAAGGCGACGAUGCGUAGCCGACCUGAGAGGAGGAGCGGCCACACGGGAACUGAGACACGGUCCAGACGCCUACGGGAGGCAGCAGUAGGGAAUCUUGCGCAAUGGGCGAAAGCCUGACGGAGCAACGCCGCGUGAGUGAAGAAGGUCUUCGGAUCGUAAAGCUCUGUUAUUAGGGAAGAACAAAUGUGGAAGUAACUAUGCACGUCUUGACGGUACCUAAUCAAAAAGCCACGGCUAACUACGUG
RNAcentral lists this ribosomal RNA (492 nucleotides) under uncultured bacterium. RNAcentral describes it as "partial 16S ribosomal RNA". It matches the Rfam family "Bacterial small subunit ribosomal RNA", at positions 29 to 507 of the family's 1533-position model. The record is from RNAcentral.